RNAcentral lists this ribosomal RNA (496 nucleotides) under uncultured bacterium. RNAcentral's name for it is "partial 16S ribosomal RNA". It matches the Rfam family "Bacterial small subunit ribosomal RNA", at positions 28 to 506 of the family's 1533-position model. The record is from RNAcentral.
GAUGAACGCUGGCGGCGUGCCUAAUACAUGCAAGUCGAGCGAACGGACGAGAAGCUUGCUUCUCUGAUGUUAGCGGCGGACGGGUGAGUAACACGUGGAUAACCUACCUAUAAGACUGGGAUAACUUCGGGAAACCGGAGCUAAUACCGGAUGAUAUUUUGAACCGCAUGGUUCAAAAGUGAAAGACGGUCUUGCUGUCACUUAUAGAUGGAUCCGCGCUGCAUUAGCUAGUUGGUAAGGUAACGGCUUACCAAGGCAACGAUGCAUAGCCGACCUGAGAGGGUGAUCGGCCACACUGGAACUGAGACACGGGCCAGACUCCUACGGGAGGCAGCAGUAGGGAAUCUUCCGCAAUGGGCGAAAGCCUGACGGAGCAACGCCGCGUGAGUGAUGAAGGUCUUCGGAUCGUAAAACGCUGUUAUUAGGGAAGAACAUAUGUGUAAGUAACUGUGCACAUCUUGACGGUACCUAAUCAGAAAGCCACGGCUAACUACGU